This 418-nucleotide ribosomal RNA is filed under the name uncultured bacterium. RNAcentral's name for it is "bacterial SSU rRNA". It matches the Rfam family "Bacterial small subunit ribosomal RNA", at positions 43 to 516 of the family's 1533-position model. The record is from RNAcentral.
CAGGCCUAACACAUGCAAGUCGAACGCGCCCUUCGGAGUGAGCGGCGGACGGGGACUAACGCGUGGGAACGUGCCCACUAGUGCGGAAUACCCUCGGGAAACGAGAUUAAUACCGUAUGUGCCCUACGGGGGAAAGAUUUAUCGGCAUUGGUAGUCCGAGUUGGAUUAGGUUGUUGGUGGGGUGACAGCGCACCAAGGCUAGAUCCAUAGCUGGUCUGAGACGAGGAUCACCCACACUGGGACUGAGACUGGUCCAGACUCCUACGGGAGGCAUGAGUGGGGAAUAUUGGACCCUGGGGAGAGUCUGAUCCAACCAUGCCGGGUGAGUGAAUAAGGCCUUAAGGUUGAAAGCUCUUUCGGCGGGGAAAGUAAUGACGGUAUCCGGAGAUCAACCCCGGAUAAUUCCUUGCCAGCAGCC